ACCAUUACAAAUUUACCAGCCGCAGUGUUCGCUUGUUUGACAUUUGUAAUUCAAAUGUAGAACGUUGUCUUCUAUGCUACCAGUGUUUUAUAUCGUUAAUUUCCUAAAUACGUCACAUGCUGUGUAUUUCCUAAUGUUGCCAGUGAUUUCUGUGAGUGUAGUUCAAAAAUGGAACGAUAAAAAUUGUUCAACGAUGGAGGUGUUAAAAUCAUUAGUGUGUCAAAAUAGAACGUCAAAUUCUUCGAGGUUUGAAACGUUCGCAAAAUCGUCGUUUGGGCGAACGAUGGACCCAUAACAGAAGAAAGUAGAAGAAGAAUUAAUAGUAGAACGCAAGUACUUAAAUAAUAACUGAGAUCUUCGGCAGUGGAACACAGCGCAGUACAGCCUAAGGCCCCUACACACGUAUAAUUACGAACCUUCGGAGAACAGCAGCUUUUAUUAUCGUGCUACCGUGAUUAGAUGGUACUCAGAUAAGAAUUUAAAAAAAAUCUGUGUCUAUAGCUGUAAUUUGUGGGAUUCGGGUGGUGAGAGUCUUUGUUUUCGCUCUGGGCAUUGAUAACGUCUCCUAGCUGAUCAAAAUGGUCACGAUCUCAAAUUAAAACAUUUUCCUAACUAAGUCCAUUUGAAUUCAUAUUAACUAGAUGUAACCUGGCUUGGGAAUGUCUAUUUUCGCUAGCAGUUAUCAUUAACCAUUAAAAUUGAAUAAAAAAUA
Long non-coding RNA from Plodia interpunctella (Indianmeal moth), 712 nucleotides. RefSeq lists it as uncharacterized. NCBI's taxonomy places the organism in Eukaryota, Metazoa, Arthropoda, Insecta, Lepidoptera, Pyralidae. The transcript is spliced from 2 exons. The record is from RefSeq and is a predicted model, not a curated record.